GUACCAUUUUUGCAUUUGAAUCCUACAGAUUUGAGAGGCCAGCGACAAAUAGAAGAAUCGCAGUAUCCCCCUAAACCUCUGCAUCUGAGAGUUGGAUCAUCGGUCCAAGUGAAACCUGUAAACAUGGAAGAUUUUCUAGGAAGAUCCAGAACCCGGCUGUUUAGAUGCACCCCGCUGUGCUAUCCAGCGCUGUUACCACUGCUGCAAUGUGUCACCUCUUCUGAGGUCAGAACAAGGCACCCGACCAUGUGCUCAACUUCAGAUCGAGCGACUUGUGCCAGCGUGUGAAGAGCUGCCCAGUGUUGCAACAGGAGUACCCAGGGCUACAGCUAUGCAACUGUUUAAGAUGAGUUUUCUUACCUGGGGUGAUCAAGAGAGCAAGCGAGAAAAGAGCCAACAGAAGGAAUAUCU
Molecule: long non-coding RNA, 411 nt
Organism: Sceloporus undulatus (fence lizard)
Lineage: Eukaryota; Metazoa; Chordata; Lepidosauria; Squamata; Phrynosomatidae
Exons: 3
Source: RefSeq, a predicted model, not a curated record